This 469-nucleotide long non-coding RNA is filed under the name Trifolium pratense (red clover). RNAcentral's name for it is "long non-coding RNA (TPRA_LNC006191)". Lineage: Eukaryota; Viridiplantae; Streptophyta; Magnoliopsida; Fabales; Fabaceae. The record is from RNAcentral.
UAAAAUGUUUUUAAAUGAUGACACCAGGGAACAGAAAUAAAAGUAUCAUAAAAGUAUCAUGAACUAGAUACAAACAAAACCUAAUCAACGAUUACGAAUUUCUAAUACAAGCUAUGAAUCAUAUUAGGUUCAGAUCCGAGACAAAUUCCAAAACAAUUAACCGAUACAAACCCUAACACAUCAAUUUCUAACAGAUCUACGAUCUUGAAAAACGAAAGAAAAGAACGGAAAAUCGAAUCAAAAACCAGAAAAGAAAGGGAAAAUACCUUGAGGAAUGGUUAGGUCGAGAAGAAACGAAUUGAGAAAUUGGGAAUUGAGAAACGAAUUGAAAUUGUUCGAUGAGAAUGGAACUGUGAAUUGAUAAUGGUGCAAUGGUGUCGUUUUAUGUUUCUAUGUGGUCGAGAAGAUUUAGGUUUUUAUGUUUCUAUGUGUUUUGCUGCGCGCAUGUUAAGGGAGUUUUUUUUUUUNN